AGUGAACGCUGGCGGCGUGCUUAACACAUGCAAGUCGAACGGUAACAGGAACUAGCUUGCUAGUUUGCUGACGAGUGGCGCACGGGUGAGUAAUAUAUAGUUAAUGUACCCCAAAGACUGGGAUAGCCACUGGAAACGGUGAUUAAUACUAGAUACACCUCUUUAAUAUAAGUUAGAGAGGGAAAUGUCUUUUCGCUUUGGGAUCAGACUAUAUCCUAUCAGUUAGUUGGUGAGGUAAUGGCUCACCAAGGCAAUGACGGGUAGCGGUUCUGAGAGGAUGAUCCGCCACACUGGUACUGAGGCACGGACCAGACUCCUACGGGAGGCAGCAGUGAGGAAUAUUGCACAAUGGGGGGAACCCUGAUGCAGCAACGCCGCGUGGAGGAUGACGCAUUUCGGUGUGUAAACUCCUUUUAUAUGUCAAGAAAUGACGUAGCAUAUGAAUAAGCACGGCUAACUCCGUGCCAGCAGCCGCGGUUAA
Molecule: ribosomal RNA, 481 nt
Filed under: uncultured bacterium
Lineage: Bacteria
Description: bacterial SSU rRNA
Rfam family: Bacterial small subunit ribosomal RNA
Source: RNAcentral